AGGUGUUUUCAAAAAGGACUUGUGGGCUCUGACUCCAGGCACUCAACACUUUGAAGGGCUUCAUAUUAGCUAUAGUCACUCAGUCGUGCUAUGCUUUCCUGAGGAGAUGUAAGG
Molecule: small nucleolar RNA, 114 nt
Filed under: Colobus angolensis palliatus
Lineage: Eukaryota; Metazoa; Chordata; Mammalia; Primates; Cercopithecidae
Description: Small nucleolar RNA SNORA25 (ENSCANG00000007167.1)
Source: RNAcentral